CACGCGCAUCCUGAGCUGAGCCCGGAUCGAUCUCGGGCACUGGUCGAUCCCGGGCGAUCCAGGGACAUCACGCGCGAGGAAUAUCCCCAGGGGGAACCCUACCGCAGCCCCUCCCCGCCUUUCGUCAUCUGCACGCAUUGGUUUAGAGACACGCAUCUCGCGUACGAGCUCGAAGCCGCCGCCGUAUUCUCCAGUCGUUCUCGUCGCCCGGAGAGAGAGGAACGACGCCGCCAUCGAUGCCUGACUUCGCCGGAGCAUGCUGGAGUUCAGGAGCUCGCCACGGCCGCUCGAGGGAGCCCCCUCGCCCUUGAACACCACCACUACCUCCGCCACUCGAUGCCUCCUCCGCCCGCCACUUCGCCCUCGCCGGAUACUCGCCGGAGGAGCGCUGCCGCCGCCGCUCGAAGCCGCCGCCUUCUUUCUCUGCUUUGCUGAUUGUCCGGAGUGGGACGUGAGCUAUUGUCAGGAGUGUGACUUUUUGAACCAGAUCCAAGGCAAGUUACAUGUUGAUCAUCCUUUACCUAUUGUUUUCUAUGCACGUAGUAUAUAUCACACUAUGAAUAUAUGCAUGUAUAGGGUUACUAUAUUAUUUUGCUAUAUUGUUGAGCUAUCUUCCGUCAAUGCAGAUCGUGGUAGUUAUAGUUUUGCUAUGCUUGUAGACGGGGUUGGUUCAUGUAUACAUCGAGCUUAUGUGAGGAUUAUAUAUAUAACAAAUCGAGUAGUAAUUAAGGAUAUAACUCACCUCUGGGCGGAAUUGGUAUUGAUGGGUGGUUUCAAGAACAUCAUGGUCUAUACCCUCUGAAUAUAAGUGGACGGCCGCCCAGGCUCAAAAAGAUCAAACAGACUUAGUGACUAGUAGCUUCCAUGUGCAACCACUAGCUAAAUGGGCUCUGGCUUAGUUGAGUAGGUUGUGGGAUCCUCGUCCAGGUCAGCUAGCAGAUGUAGAUAUGAGUAGGUGUACCAGCUGCCGGUGGGUGGAGGUGACUACUUCUAAAAGACUUCGUCUCAAUCUUCGGGUUGAGUCUAGUGGG
Long non-coding RNA from Triticum aestivum (bread wheat), 1031 nucleotides. RefSeq lists it as uncharacterized. The record is from RefSeq and is a predicted model, not a curated record. Lineage: Eukaryota; Viridiplantae; Streptophyta; Magnoliopsida; Poales; Poaceae. The transcript is spliced from 3 exons.